RNAcentral lists this non-coding RNA (102 nucleotides) under Defluviitoga tunisiensis. Its description in RNAcentral is "Guanine sequence". It matches the Rfam family "Purine riboswitch aptamer". From Rfam's summary of the family: Riboswitches are metabolite binding domains within certain messenger RNAs that serve as precision sensors for their corresponding targets. Allosteric rearrangement of mRNA structure is mediated by ligand binding, and this results in modulation of gene expression. The record is from Rfam by way of RNAcentral. Lineage: Bacteria; Thermotogati; Thermotogota; Thermotogae; Petrotogales; Petrotogaceae.
AUAUUAUUUUGGACCUCUUUCUGUAUAAUGCUGAUAAUAUGGUUCAGCAGUCUCUACCAAACAACCGUAAACUGUUUGGCUACAGUAAGGGGGGUAAACUGA